RNAcentral lists this ribosomal RNA (207 nucleotides) under uncultured bacterium. RNAcentral describes it as "partial 16S ribosomal RNA". It matches the Rfam family "Bacterial small subunit ribosomal RNA", at positions 568 to 774 of the family's 1533-position model. The record is from RNAcentral.
CUCGUAGGCAGUUCGUCGCGUCCGGUGUGAAAGUCCAUCGCUUAACGGUGGAUCCGCGCCGGGUACGGGCGGGCUUGAGUGCGGUAGGGGAGACUGGAAUUCCCGGUGUAACGGUGGAAUGUGUAGAUAUCGGGAAGAACACCAAUGGCGAAGGCAGGUCUCUGGGCCGUUACUGACGCUGAGGAGCGAAAGCGUGGGGAGCGAACA